GCGCCCGUAGCUCAACUGGAUAGAGCGUCGGACUUCGAAUCCGCCGGUUAGAGGUUCGAAUCCUCUCGGGCGUG
This 74-nucleotide transfer RNA is filed under the name candidate division TA06 bacterium. Its description in RNAcentral is "tRNA-Arg". It matches the Rfam family "tRNA". From Rfam's summary of the family: Transfer RNA (tRNA) molecules are approximately 80 nucleotides in length. Their secondary structure includes four short double-helical elements and three loops (D, anti-codon, and T loops). Further hydrogen bonds mediate the characteristic L-shaped molecular structure. tRNAs have two regions of fundamental functional importance: the anti-codon, which is responsible for specific mRNA codon recognition, and the 3' end, to which the tRNAs corresponding amino acid is attached (by aminoacyl-tRNA synthetases). tRNAs cope with the degeneracy of the genetic code in two manners: having more than one tRNA (with a specific anti-codon) for a particular amino acid; and 'wobble' base-pairing, i.e. permitting non-standard base-pairing at the 3rd anti-codon position. The record is from RNAcentral. RNAcentral also lists the same sequence under 1 other name.